ACUCAUCACAGCAGAAUUCUGAUGAGGCUGGGCUCUUUCGCAGCUGGCAUUUGAUGAGAAAAGGGAAUUGAAAUGUAGGUGAUUGAUUUGGACCUGGAGAAGCUGAUUGGAUGUCACCCUGUUCUUCCCGACAAUGGGGACCGGUCUGUGCAAAGGGGACUUCCUGUGACCCCUGCGGGUCCACCGGAAGUUCUGAUUUCUCCCCGUGGAAUAGGGGCGCGAAGGCUGCCCUGUCACACACGGCCCAAGAGAUUGAUUACCUGGGCUCUGGCAGCCUCUCUGGGUGGCCUACCUGGUUGGGUGGUCCAGACUUCCACGCCUGAGAGCCCGAGCCCUUGGUCGUCACGUCCUCCUUUGGCUUUGGCUGCUGCUCUUGUCCAUUCACCAUCAAAUAUGGAUGAAAGAGUCCAAGGCGACACCUUGAUGGAUCUCCUGAGUGCCGAAUGGAGUCAGUAGCUUCAUUGUGCAGUAGCUUCAUCCUCCUGAGAAUCCCCCUGCGAUUCCCCAGCCUGCCAGGUGUCCCACAUGAACGCAGCCUGUUCUGGUUCUCCUUCCUGAUAAGAGUGGAAAAGAAUGCAUUCACCCGGUAUGGGCUGCAUUCCUGGGCCACAGGCCACCAAGCUCACCUGCACCAGGAAAGCUGCUCCCCACCAG
RNAcentral lists this long non-coding RNA (654 nucleotides) under Homo sapiens (human). RNAcentral's name for it is "HSALNT0300271". Lineage: Eukaryota; Metazoa; Chordata; Mammalia; Primates; Hominidae. The record is from RNAcentral.